This 216-nucleotide long non-coding RNA is filed under the name Oryza sativa aromatic subgroup. RNAcentral's name for it is "lncRNA OsARC_08g0018260". RNAcentral also lists the same sequence under 1 other name. The record is from RNAcentral. Lineage: Eukaryota; Viridiplantae; Streptophyta; Magnoliopsida; Poales; Poaceae.
UAUCGUUGGCCUUGCCCGCUCGAGUAUAGUACACCAUACAGGGCAUCUAGCCUACCGACGCGGUACAGUGGCGUGACAGUGGCGGCCUCUCGUGGGCGCUCGCAUCGCAACCAGACGGAUGCCGCCUGCUGCCUCGGAGUACGAGCGGCGCGAGCGUUUUCCCAGCUCAGGGCGUACAGGCAUGGGCGGUAUAGAGAGGUUCAGAACUUCAGAUAG